RNAcentral lists this long non-coding RNA (1463 nucleotides) under Anas platyrhynchos platyrhynchos (common mallard). Its description in RNAcentral is "lncRNA (ENSAPLG00000023333.1)". Lineage: Eukaryota; Metazoa; Chordata; Aves; Anseriformes; Anatidae. The record is from RNAcentral.
GUCUUAAAUUCUGGGCUUAGCAAAUCUAGAAAUAUCAUCUGAGACAUAAUACUUAAUCUUUAUGUUGGUUCUUCUUCCCUGGAGUUUUCAGUGAAAGAACUGAAGACAGUGAGUGGCUCACAAGGGACCCAAAGAGACUUCAAGGCCCCAGGUAGGAAAGUGCUACAGAAAUACAAGGAUGUGGGGAAUAGCUGAGGCUGAACCUAAGAACUAUGCUUCCAAAGUCUGAAGGUAGCAGCUAACUGAGAGAUCCUGAAACCUUUCUCCUUUUCAUAUAGGCUACUGAGUUAUUGGUAUUCCAGAGUAAAACCCAGGAGUGUUAUACUCUAUAGAUCUUCACUAAGCUCUGGAGUGCCACAGAUAAUAACUGUAAAAGCAAUAAUUAAUAAUUGCUAUUAAGAUAUCAUUUACAAAAGCCUGCAAAUAAGUUGCCAUAUGUCAGAGAAGGUCAGGCAGUAGCCCGGAGGCAGACAGUUGUAUCCCAAAGUCACUGAUGAGCCAGGUGAGAGCACCAGGUGCUGAAUAUUGCCAGUGACUGUGCACACCAGGAAACCUGGCCCCUUGCCCUUCUGCAGGGAAGUGUUAACAGAGCAAGUCAGAGCAGAAAAUGGUAGAAAGCAGGGAAACCAGUUCUUCAGGGUGUGUAAUAGGAUAUUUUGAAUUUUCAGUGAAAAACGCUUGCUUUUCUCAGCAUUGGAAAGCAACUCCCAGUGUGUUUUGUUCAUCGCUCAGCUGAGGAGUGGCAUCAGAAAGACCAAAAAGACUGGGAGACUGGACUUGAUUUCUCCUGGGCGGCCCACAGACCCCACUCUAUGCCCCUUCCAUGAGGCCUCCAAGUCUGCAGAUGUCCCUUUGUGUGGACAGCCAGACCGUGGCCCUGCCAGCAAUGCCGACUAUUGCACACACACUGGCUGCUUCCAAGAAACAUCUCAAGAUGUAGGAAGAUGGAGAAUCACGGCCUGCCAGGUAGGCCAGCCUACCUUGUGGACCGGGUUUUCUGGGCCUUUGGCUUUUGAUGGGCUUCUUUGAUGGGCUGUAAAGGGCUUGCUAUUCAGUAAUAACACCCCUGUGAUACCCACUGCCUCAUCUACACUGUUAAUGCUUUGCAAAGCCUGCACAAAUCAAUUUAAUGAACGGGUUAUAUUAACAUUAUAACUGGAAAACAUCAUGGUGCUUAGUCCUCCCCAUGGCUUUGAGCUACCUAUCCCACAUAUGGCUGCUUUUGAUCUGAUGCUGAGGAAUCUGAGAGAUAAGGCUUGGUGUCUGAGGAGGUCUGGAGAGACAAGGGAAAUACAGGCAUCUAAAAAUGUUUUUCCUUGUAAGUAGGAGUAAAUUUGUUUACUGCUUUUCAUAUACAUUAUUUCUGUGAGUGUAGAUAUCAUACGGAGUUAAAGAACCUUCUGAUAUAAUCCAUAUUCUAUGCAAAGUCUGGAUGAAAUAAAAAUCAAAUUCAAAUUUUAACA